RNAcentral lists this ribosomal RNA (254 nucleotides) under uncultured bacterium. Its description in RNAcentral is "partial 16S ribosomal RNA". It matches the Rfam family "Bacterial small subunit ribosomal RNA", at positions 524 to 776 of the family's 1533-position model. The record is from RNAcentral.
UACGUAGGGUGCAAGCGUUAAUCGGAAUUACUGGGCGUAAAGCGUGCGCAGGCGGUGAUGUAAGACAGGUGUGAAAUCCCCGGGCUCAACCUGGGAAUGGCAUUUGUGACUAGAAGGCUAGAGUGUGUCAGAGGGGGGGUAGAAUUCCACGUGUAGCAGUGAAAUUCGUAGAUAUCGGGAGGAACACCGGUGGCGAAGGCGGCGAUCUGGGUCGAUACUGACGCUGAGGUGCGAAAGCGUGGGGAGCAAACAGG